AGGGCUGUAGCUUAGUGGUAGGGCAUCUGCCUUGCAUGCAGAAGGUCCCAGGUUCAAUCCCCGGCGUCUCCA
Lacerta agilis (Sand lizard) is the source of this 72-nucleotide non-coding RNA. The record is from the annotation of a RefSeq genome assembly. Lineage: Eukaryota; Metazoa; Chordata; Lepidosauria; Squamata; Lacertidae.